UACGGAGGGUGCAAACGUUGCUCGGAAUCAUUGGGCGUAAAGCGCACGUAGGUGGCCUGUUAAGUCGGGUGUGAAAUCCCUGGGCUCAACCCAGGAAGUGCACUCGAAACUGGCAGGCUUGAGUACUGAAGAGGGUCGCGGAAUUCCCGGUGUAGAGGUGAAAUUCGUAGAUAUCGGGAGGAACACCAAUGGCGAAGGCGGCGACCUGGGCAGAUACUGACACUGAGGUGCGAAAGCGUGGGGAGCAAACAGGG
RNAcentral lists this ribosomal RNA (254 nucleotides) under uncultured bacterium. RNAcentral's name for it is "partial 16S ribosomal RNA". It matches the Rfam family "Bacterial small subunit ribosomal RNA", at positions 524 to 777 of the family's 1533-position model. The record is from RNAcentral.